RNAcentral lists this ribosomal RNA (497 nucleotides) under uncultured bacterium. RNAcentral's name for it is "partial 16S ribosomal RNA". It matches the Rfam family "Bacterial small subunit ribosomal RNA", at positions 28 to 507 of the family's 1533-position model. The record is from RNAcentral.
GAUGAACGCUGGCGGCGUGCCUAAUACAUGCAAGUCGAGCGAACAGACGAGGAGCUUGCUCCUCUGACGUUAGCGGCGGACGGGUGAGUAACACGUGGAUAACCUACCUAUAAGACUGGGAUAACUUCGGGAAACCGGAGCUAAUACCGGAUAAUAUAUUGAACCGCAUGGUUCAAUAGUGAAAGACGGUGUUGCUGUCACUUAUAGAUGGAUCCGCGCCGCAUUAGCUAGUUGGUAAGGUAACGGCUUACCAAGGCGACGAUGCGUAGCCGACCUGAGAGGGUGAUCGGCCACACUGGAACUGAGCCACGGUCCAGACUCCUACGGGAGGCAGCAGUAGGGAAUCUUCCGCAAUGGGCGAAAGCCUGACGGAGCAACGCCGCGUGAGUGAUGAAGGUCUUCGGAUCGUAAAACUCUGUUAUUAGGGAAGAACAAAUGUGUAAGUAACUAUGCACGUCUUGACGGUACCUAAUCAGAAAGCCACGGCUAACUACGUG